This 1738-nucleotide ribosomal RNA is filed under the name uncultured freshwater eukaryote. Its description in RNAcentral is "SSU rRNA". It matches the Rfam family "Eukaryotic small subunit ribosomal RNA". The record is from RNAcentral.
AGUCAUAUGCUUGUCUCAAAGAUUAAGCCAUGCAUGUCUGAGUAUAAGCUUUCAAACGGCGAGACUGCGAAUGGCUCAUUAAAACAGUUAUAGUUUGUUUGAUGGUCGUUGUCCUACAUGGAUAACCGUAGUAAUUCUAGAGCUAAUACAUGCGUAAAGACCCGACUUCACGGAAGGGUUGUGUUUAUUAGAUACAGAACCAACCUAGGCCUCGCCUAGAGUUUUUGGUGAUUCAUAAUAACUGAGCGAAUCGUAUAGCUUUGGCUGACGAUAUAUCAUUCAAGUUUCUGACCUAUCAGCUCUCGACGGUAGGGUAUUGGCCUACCGUGGCUUUGACAGGUAACGGAGAAUUAGGGUUCGAUUCCGGAGAGGGAGCCUGAGAGACGGCUACCACAUCUAAGGAAGACAGCAGGCGCGCAAAUUACCCAAUCCUGACACAGGGAGGUAGUGACAAGAAAUAACAAUACGAGGCAUCACUGUCUUGUAAUUGGAAUGAGUAAGAUUUAAAUCCCUUUACGAUUAACAAUUGGAGGGCAAUCUGGUGCCAGCAGCCGCGGUAAUUCCAGCUCCAAUAACGUAUAUUAAAGUUGCUGCGGUUAAAAAGCUCGUAGUUGGAUUUCAGCUGUGGAAGACCGACAUUUGCCUUCACUGGUAUUUGUCUGGUAUUUCCAGAGCAUAUCUCGGUAUACAUAUUGGCGCUUGAUUGCGCUAUAUGGAUUCCGGGGCAUUUACUUUGAGGAAAUUAGAGUGUUUCAAGCAGGCAUCUGCCUUGAAUACGUUAGCAUGGAAUAAUAAGAUAGGACUUUGGUUCUAUUUUGUUGGUUUCUGGAACUGAAGUAAUGAUGAAUAGGGACAGUCGGGGGCAUUCGUACUUAACUGUCAGAGGUGGAAUUCUUGGAUUUGUUAAAGACGAACUACUGCGAAAGCAUUUGCCAAGGAUGUUUUCAUUGGUCAAGAACGAAAGUUAGGGGAUCGAAGACGAUUAGAUACCGUCGUAGUCUUAACCAUAAACCAUGCCGACUAGAGAUUGGAGGUUGUUAAAUUGACUCCUUCAGCAUCUCGUGAGAAAUCAAAGUCUUUGGGGUUCCGGGGGGAGUAUGGUCGCAAGGCUGAAACUUAAAGGAAUUGACGGAAGGGCACCACCAGGAGUGGAGCCUGCGGCUUAAUUUGACUCAACACGGGAAAUCUCACCAGGUCCAGACAUAGUAGGGAUUGACAGAUUGACAGCUCUUUCUGAUUCUAUGGGUGGUGGUGCAUGGCCGUCUUAGUUGGUGGAGUGAUCUGUUCUGGGUUAAUCCGUUAACGAACGAGACCCUUAACCUGCUAAAUAGCUUCUUCAAAACAUCUGUUUUGCGGUUUAGCUUCUUAGAGGGACUUUGUGUGUUUUCAACACAAGGAAGUUUGAGGCAAUAACAGGUCUGUGAUGCCCUUAGAUGUCCUGGGCUGCACACGCGCUACACUGACAUGUUCAACGAGUAUUUCCUUGCCCGGAAGGGUUGGGUAAUCUUUUGAAAGCAUGUCGUGAUGGGGAUAGAUUAUUGCAAUUAUUAAUCUUCAACGAGGAAUUCCUAGUAAGUGCAAGUCAUCAGCUUGCGCUGAUUACGUCCCUGCCCUUUGUACACACCGCCCGUCGCUCCUACCGAUUGAGUGAUCCGGUGAAUAAUUCGGACCGCGACAACUGAGCCCACAAAGCUUAAGUUGUAGUGGGAAGUUUAGUGAACCUUAUCACUUAGAGGAA